GGUGUUUGCAGGCUGAUCUGAUUGUAAUGCUUCGUUGAGCUCCUCAGUGAUUUCAUGCCCACCCAUCUGAUCAACUAAAGAAAUAAAUCAACUCCUGAGCUAUCUUCAGUAUCCUCGACGCAUUGGUUGUAUCAACUAUAACUGGUCUUAUGUGAUCUUCAGGACUUGUUUCAAAACGGUACACCUGCAGUUUUCUUUGUCAAAGAACUUGAAGCAGACAAAUCAAGCCAUAGACAGUGAAGACGAGUUACUGUG
RNAcentral lists this unclassified non-coding RNA (255 nucleotides) under Hevea brasiliensis (rubber tree). Lineage: Eukaryota; Viridiplantae; Streptophyta; Magnoliopsida; Malpighiales; Euphorbiaceae. The record is from RNAcentral.